RNAcentral lists this ribosomal RNA (559 nucleotides) under uncultured bacterium. Its description in RNAcentral is "bacterial SSU rRNA". It matches the Rfam family "Bacterial small subunit ribosomal RNA", at positions 338 to 915 of the family's 1533-position model. The record is from RNAcentral.
CCUACGGGAGGCAGCAGUAGGGAAUAUUGGUCAAUGGGCGAAAGCCUGAACCAGCAACGCCGCGUGCGCGAUGAAGGCCUUCGGGUCGUAAAGCGCUUUUGGGAGGGAUGAAAAUGACAGUACCUCCCGAAUAAGGAUCGGCUAACUACGUGCCAGCAGCCGCGGUAAGACGUAGGAUCCAAGCGUUAUCCGGAAUUACUGGGCGUAAAGGGCGUGUAGGAGGUUGGGCAAGUCGGCCAUGAAAGCUCCCGGCUCAACUGGGAGAGGCUGGUCGAUACUGCCUGGCUAGAGGGCAAGAGAGGGAGGUGGAAUUCCCGGUGUAGUGGUGAAAUGCGUAGAUAUCGGGAGGAACACCAGUGGCGAAGGCGGCCUCCUGGCUUGUACCUGACUCCGAAACGCGAAAGCAUGGGUAGCAAACAGGAUUAGAAACCCUGGUAGUCCAUGCCAUAAACGAUGUCAACUGGGUGUCGGCGAAGUAAAAUUUGUCGGUGCCGAAGCUAACGCGUUAAGUUGACCGCCUGAGGACUACGAUCGCAAGAUUAAACUAAAGGAAUUGACG